This 463-nucleotide ribosomal RNA is filed under the name uncultured bacterium. RNAcentral describes it as "partial 16S ribosomal RNA". It matches the Rfam family "Bacterial small subunit ribosomal RNA", at positions 30 to 507 of the family's 1533-position model. The record is from RNAcentral.
CGAACGCUGGCGGCGUGCUUAACACAUGCAAGUCGAACGGAAAGGCCCUGCUUGCAGGGUACUCGAGUGGCGAACGGGUGAGUAACACGUGGGUUAUCUGCCCUGCACUUCGGGAUAAGCCUGGGAAACUGGGUCUAAUACCGGAUAGGAGCCAUUUUUAGUGUGAUGGUUGGAAAGUUUUUUCGGUGUAGGAUGAGCUCGCGGCCUAUCAGCUUGUUGGUGGGGUAAUGGCCUACCAAGGCGGCGACGGGUAGCCGGCCUGAGAGGGUGGACAGCCACAUUGGGACUGAGAUACGGCCCAGACUCCUACGGGAGGCAGCAGUGGGGAAUAUUGCACAAUGGGCGCAAGCCUGAUGCAGCGACGCCGCGUGGGGGAUGACGGCCUUCGGGUUGUAAACUCCUUUCGCUAGGGACGAAGCUUUUUGUGACGGUACCUAGAUAAGAAGCACCGGCUAACUACGUG